RNAcentral lists this long non-coding RNA (775 nucleotides) under Pongo abelii (Sumatran orangutan). RNAcentral describes it as "lincRNA". The record is from RNAcentral. Lineage: Eukaryota; Metazoa; Chordata; Mammalia; Primates; Hominidae.
GGGGAGGAUUUGGAGAGCGGAGGAAUGAUGGAGAGCAGAGAGGAGAGGCUUGGAGAUCAAAACCUAAAAAGGUGGGAAUGAAAGAAGCUCCUAACCCUCUUGGCUUUUUUCCCAAAGCCAGGAGGCAGCUCCUGAAUGGUGGAUUUUGGACUACAGGUGAAGCUCCCAGCAAAGGGCCUGGCCCAGAGAAAUGCUCAAGAGUAGGAUGAAAAGACCGUGGGCUUCUUCCUUUGCAAAAGGAAACGUUUGGGACUGAUGGACACUGAAAAGUCUAGAUCUUCAUAAUCCUCAACAGCUUCACUGCCACUGCACUCACAAAAUGAGUGUGCCCUAUAUUUCCAGCCCUGUGAUGAGUAUGAAAAGAGCCUGAAGAACUCAUCUUCCUAGUCGCAAAGUACUUUAAAAUAUAUAAUCCCUCAAUCUUAAACAUAUAUAUACAUUUUAUUGCUUUUUAUUAUACAAUAAUACAUAUUUACUAUUGAAAAUACAGAUAAAAAAAGAAAAUGGUUCAUAAUAAUACUACCCAGGUUUAAAAAAUACUAUUCAGCCUUAUGUUGAAGAAUCUGACUCUUUUCCUAUGCAAGCAUGUAUUUCAAGCAAAACUGGACACUUUGUGUGUACCUUGUUUUGUAAUCUUUUUUCUCCCAAAUUAAUAUAUAAUCAGUAUCUUUUUGUAUUAAUCUUAAAUCCUUUCUUCUGUCACUUAUUUUUAAUGGUUAACUAGUCAUCUACUAUAUAGAUAUUCUGUAAUUUAUUAAAGUGAUCCCUCAUUCUU